Oncorhynchus tshawytscha (Chinook salmon) is the source of this 1290-nucleotide long non-coding RNA. The record is from Ensembl. NCBI's taxonomy places the organism in Eukaryota, Metazoa, Chordata, Actinopteri, Salmoniformes, Salmonidae.
UCUGUUUUGUAAUGCCUUGCAAGGAAAUCUUUGUCGGCAUCACCCCCUAAUGUCCCAGACACACCAAAUAUCCCAUUCCCUUUCAGGUACUUUUGAAAGUAAUGGAAGUUUGAAAGGUAAUUAGUCACAUUGGACAAAGGAGUGGUUGCCAGCUGGUGUUUCAUCUCCAGAAACUGCUGCAGGCCGUCCCCCCAGCGUUUGUUCUUCUCCAACACUCCACUGGCCUGGAAGUCCACUGGGAUGAUAGCAUGGUAGAGAUGCUUGUCUCCGACAGCUUCCAACGUAUGAUCAAUCAUGUACUCUCUGCCUUGUGUCAUCAUGAUGGCUUUCAGGGCAUUUUCCACAAAGACUGGUAACUGAUUCUCAAGGUACUUCUCAAGGAAAGAGGGGAUCACAAGAAACUCUGAGUUUGACUGAGAGCUGCCAGAAUAUUUGAUUUUAGAAUUCAGCUCAGAGACUGUUGCCUUAAUGAGUUUGUCUUCAGGUAUGAUCUCGCUGGCUCGUCCAUUCUCGAGGAGAAGCAUUUUGAUUUCCAGGAUAUCAGGGUUGUUGUGCAACUUUUUCUCCUCAACCAGCACGGCUUUAUUGUUUGUCACAGAGUAACAGUCAAUGGCCACAUCAUUCUCCAGUGCUUUCUCCAUUAUGGUGAGCAGAUCACACUGUUGAGUAAUUCCAACUUUGGCCAAGAAUGUGUCAACAGUUAUCCUGUUCUCUGUUGUAUCGUCAUUCUCUGUGUUCUCUAGAGCAUGCAUGAACAUAUCAAAAUCUUCAUCUGAAUAGAUACCCAACUCCACUCCGGCUUCCAAAAUGUGAAAUUCAGAGAAUUCUUUAGAUGUCGCUGGACCGAUAACAGCUAACUUUGCAGCCUUGUGAAAAUGCUGGAUUCCAGUUGCCCACUCAAUCUCUCCAGUAUCUUCCAUCUCAAUUGGCUGACACAUAGAUACCAUGGCCCAUAUGCUUGCAAGGACUUGUCCGAGGUGCCUCAGGCCACUUGCCUCGUGGGAUAGAAACGUCACCUGAACUCCAUUGUCCAAGGUCAUGUAGUCCACUUCAUCCACAAUCACCAUGUCGAACCUCCUCUCCCCACGUGUGGUGUCCUUCUCGAAUUCCUGCCUCAAUGCGUCUGCUGCAAAGCUGCCAACGGUUCCGUUAACAAAUCGUUUCCUGUAAGCCUCCUGUAGCAUACUAUCCCUGCUUUCAGGGGAGCUUCCCUGUAUCUGUGGUGGUGGCACAACAGAGGAUGUGACACCAAACAUGUCAUACAGUUUCUUCCACUCCUCUUGGUCUCGC